RNAcentral lists this ribosomal RNA (843 nucleotides) under uncultured marine microorganism. RNAcentral describes it as "bacterial SSU rRNA". It matches the Rfam family "Bacterial small subunit ribosomal RNA", at positions 661 to 1501 of the family's 1533-position model. The record is from RNAcentral.
CAGGANUUCCCAGUGUAGCGGUGAAAUGCGUAGAUAUUGGGAAGAACAUCGGUGGCGAAGGCGUGCUACUGGACCGUAACUGACACUCAGGGACGAAAGCUAGGGGAGCGAAAGGGAUUAGAUACCCCUGUAGUCCUAGCUGUAAACGAUGGAAACUAGGUGUGGCUUGUAUCGACCCGAGCCAUGCCGUAGCUAACGCGUUAAGUUUCCCGCCUGGGGAGUACGCACGCAAGUGUGAAACUCAAAGGAAUUGACGGGGGCCCGCACAAGCGGUGGAGUAUGUGGUUUAAUUCGAUGCAACGCGAAGAACCUUACCAGGGCUUGACAUGUCGCGAAUCUCGGUGAAAGCUGAGAGUGCCUUCGGGAGCGCGAACACAGGUGGUGCAUGGCUGUCGUCAGCUCGUGUCGUGAGAUGUUGGGUUAAGUCCCGCAACGAGCGCAACCCUUAUUUUUAGUUGCCAGCAUUAAGAUGGGCACUCUAGAAAGACUGCCGGUGACAAACCGGAGGAAGGUGAGGACGACGUCAAGUCAGCAUGCCCCUUACGCCCUGGGCUACACACGUACUACAAUGGUUGGGACAAAGGGCAGCGACUCCGCAAGGAAUAGCGAAUCUCAUCAAACCCAGCCUCAGUUCAGAUUGCAGGCUGCAACUCGCCUGCAUGAAGGAGGAAUCGCUAGUAAUCGCAGGUCAGCAUACUGCGGUGAAUUCGUUCCCGGGCCUUGUACACACCGCCCGUCACACCAUGGAAGCUGGUCACGCCCGAAGUAGUUACCCUAACCUUUCGAGGAGGGGGAUUCCUAAGGCAGGGCUAGUGACUGGGGUGAAGUCGUAACAAGGUAACC